Molecule: long non-coding RNA, 889 nt
Organism: Cyprinus carpio (common carp)
Lineage: Eukaryota; Metazoa; Chordata; Actinopteri; Cypriniformes; Cyprinidae
Source: RefSeq, a predicted model, not a curated record
GUCACCACGCUCGCUCUUCUUCGAUGGUUUGCGGCAGCGCUAUAAAUGCUGGCGCGCUACUGUGCGCGCUCUCUCAGUUCUGCGAUGGUUCAGCGGGAGUGCGCUAGAGCUUACAAAAAUGAGAAAGUCAGGCGGUUACAAGAAGGAGGCUGAAUGUGCUCUGGAUUUACUCCAGAUGAGGACUCUCCAGCUGCUGUAGCUCCGAUGUCACACAAGACCCCAAAAUGCCUCGAUCCCAACGGCCAGUACUGCUGAGGAUGAGGUAAAUAAGAUUGAGAAUUUGAAAGGUCCAUCGAGAUCAUCCUAUUGUGGGAAACAUGUGUGAAGAUCUUCAGAAAUCACGUUUUCUGUUCCAGCUUUUUUUUAAAUGUUAAAAGGGAUCAGUGCUCACUGUUAACAUUAUACAUAAAUGUAUUGUACAUGGUUACAAAUAUAAAAUCUUCCUUUAGUGGAGAUUCCUAGAACAGGGUUCUUCUUUUGUUCCUAGAGAGCCACUUUCCUAAAAUUAAUUUUUAUCAGAUUGGCGCUUAGUCAUCAUGGGAAUGACAUGCAGAUUGACAUAAAAAUAUCAAGGAUUUUUGCAUAAGGCUGCAACAAAAUGUGGAAAAUUAAGAGGUUUUGAAUGCACUGUUUAGGAUGUGUCCAUUCCUGCUUCUGGAGUGCCACUUUCAGCAGUUUAGCCCUAGCCCCAGUUAAACAUGCCUGAAUAAAGGUGUUCUGGAUCACUGGUCUUUCAAGCGUCUUUGGACCGCUCUUCUCUAGCAUUGUUUAAACAUGAGGCUGCUAUACGAAGACAAUGAAUGAGAUGUCUGAAAUGGUACAAUGUUUGAGUUGUCAGUUCUGUUAUUGUUUUUAAACACUGGACAAUAAAAAUGUAUGGAAGUGUUAA